Molecule: long non-coding RNA, 120 nt
Organism: Hibiscus syriacus
Lineage: Eukaryota; Viridiplantae; Streptophyta; Magnoliopsida; Malvales; Malvaceae
Exons: 3
Source: RefSeq, a predicted model, not a curated record
GAGAAGGGCCAAUACUAUUAUUAUUAUUAUUAUUAUUAUCCAUGUUCAUAGUGGAGUAGUUGAAGAGUGGAUUAGGGUUAUUCGCCUCCAUGAAAGAACAAGCCAUUCUGGUAUCGAAAA